ACGGAUGAUGAGAGUCAGAUAGGUUUCGCAUAUUAGGCUGAACUCCUGUGAUGUCACUUCCUCUUGGCUGUCUGACCAA
Molecule: small nucleolar RNA, 79 nt
Organism: Gasterosteus aculeatus aculeatus (three-spined stickleback)
Lineage: Eukaryota; Metazoa; Chordata; Actinopteri; Perciformes; Gasterosteidae
Product: Small nucleolar RNA SNORD53/SNORD92
Source: Ensembl